RNAcentral lists this ribosomal RNA (482 nucleotides) under uncultured bacterium. RNAcentral's name for it is "partial 16S ribosomal RNA". It matches the Rfam family "Bacterial small subunit ribosomal RNA", at positions 30 to 507 of the family's 1533-position model. The record is from RNAcentral.
AUUGAACGCUGGCGGCAUGCCUUACACAUGCAAGUCGAACGGUAACGGGCCUUCGGGUGCCGACGAGUGGCGGACGGGUGAGUAAUACAUCGGAACGUGCCCGAUCGUGGGGGUUAACGAGGCGAAAGCUUUGCUAAUACCGCAUACGAUCUACGGCUGCCAGCAGGGGACCGCAAGGCCUUGCGCGGACGGAGCGGCCGAUGGCAGAUUAGGUAGUUGGUGGGAUAAAAGCUUACCAAGCCGACGAUCUGUAGCUGGUCUGAGAGGAUGAUCAGCCACACUGGGACUGAGACACGGCCCAGACUCCUACGGGAGGCAGCAGUGGGGAAUUUUGGACAAUGGGCGCAAGCCUGAUCCAGCCAUGCCGCGUGCAGGAUGAAGGCCUUCGGGUUGUAAACUGCUUUUGUACGGAACGAAAAGCAUUCUUUUAAUACAGGAGGGUCAUGACGGUACCGUAAGAAUAAGCACCGGCUAACUACGUG